This 259-nucleotide long non-coding RNA is filed under the name Mustela putorius furo (domestic ferret). Its description in RNAcentral is "lncRNA (ENSMPUG00000026448.1)". The record is from RNAcentral. Lineage: Eukaryota; Metazoa; Chordata; Mammalia; Carnivora; Mustelidae.
UAUAAACAUCAAAGAAAAAAACUGGUCUUUUAUAUUGAUCCAGAUAUUCACCAUUUUUGUGCUCUUCAUUCUUCUGUGCACAUCUGAGUCUUCACUCCCACCUGAGAACGUCCUUCAGCAGCUCCGGUGUGCUGAUCUAAUUUUCUCUCCCUUGUCUCUCCCCUCUGAUACUUAUAUGUAAACCAAACAUCAGACUUAAAGAAUGUAUACAUUGACUUCAACAUUUUUGGCAAUGAAUGUAAACAUCCUCAAAAUAAAC